This 255-nucleotide ribosomal RNA is filed under the name uncultured bacterium. RNAcentral's name for it is "partial 16S ribosomal RNA". It matches the Rfam family "Bacterial small subunit ribosomal RNA", at positions 524 to 777 of the family's 1533-position model. The record is from RNAcentral.
UACGUAGGGGGCAAGCGUUGUCCGGAUUUAUUGGGCGUAAAGAGCGUGUAGGCGGCCUGAAAGGUCAGCUGUGAAAACUCGAGGCUCAACCUCGAGACGUCGGUUGAAACCAUCUGGCUAGAGUCCGGAAGAGGAGUGUGGAAUUCCCGGUGUAGCGGUGAAAUGCGCAGAUAUCGGGAAGAACACCCGUGGCGAAGGCGGCACUCUGGGACGGUACUGACGCGUGAGGAGCGAAAGCGUGGGGAGCGAACGAGG